GUCCCCGUCGUCUAGCCUGGCCUAGGACAUCGCCCUUUCACGGCGGUAACACGGGUUCAAAUCCCGUCGGGGACGCCA
RNAcentral lists this transfer RNA (78 nucleotides) under Acidobacteriota bacterium. Its description in RNAcentral is "Acidobacteria bacterium (groundwater metagenome) tRNA-Glu". It matches the Rfam family "tRNA". From Rfam's summary of the family: Transfer RNA (tRNA) molecules are approximately 80 nucleotides in length. Their secondary structure includes four short double-helical elements and three loops (D, anti-codon, and T loops). Further hydrogen bonds mediate the characteristic L-shaped molecular structure. tRNAs have two regions of fundamental functional importance: the anti-codon, which is responsible for specific mRNA codon recognition, and the 3' end, to which the tRNAs corresponding amino acid is attached (by aminoacyl-tRNA synthetases). tRNAs cope with the degeneracy of the genetic code in two manners: having more than one tRNA (with a specific anti-codon) for a particular amino acid; and 'wobble' base-pairing, i.e. permitting non-standard base-pairing at the 3rd anti-codon position. RNAcentral also lists the same sequence under 19 other names. The record is from RNAcentral. Lineage: Bacteria; Pseudomonadati; Acidobacteriota.